Molecule: ribosomal RNA, 502 nt
Filed under: uncultured Sphingobacteriales bacterium
Lineage: Bacteria; Pseudomonadati; Bacteroidota; Sphingobacteriia; Sphingobacteriales
Description: bacterial SSU rRNA
Rfam family: Bacterial small subunit ribosomal RNA
Source: RNAcentral
CCUUGCCAGCCCGCUCAGAAACUCAAAGGAAUUGACGGGGCCCGCACAAGCGGAGGAGCAUGUGGUUUAAUUCGAUGAUACGCGAGGAACCUUACCUGGGCUCGAACGUAAGAUGACUGUAGGUGAAAGCUUACAUCUCUUCGGAGCAUUUUACGAGGUGCUGCAUGGUUGUCGUCAGCUCGUGCCGUGAGGUGUCGGGUUAAGUCCCAUAACGAGCGCAACCCCUACCUUUAGUUGCCAUCAGGUAAUGCUGGGGACUCUAAAGGAACUGCCUACGCAAGUAGUGAGGAAGGCGGGGAUGACGUCAAAUCAGCACGGCCCUUACGUCCAGGGCUACACACGUGCUACAAUGGCCGAUACAGAGGGCAGCUACCUGGUGACAGGAUGCAAAUCUCCAAAGUCGGUCUCAGUUCGGAUCGGAGUCUGCAACCCGACUCCGUGAAGUUGGAUUCGCUAGUAAUCGCGCAUCAGCCAUGGCGCGGUGAAUACGUUCCCGGGCCUU